AAAUUAUAACUUUUUGACUUAUAGUUUUUAAUUUAUACAAUUAUACCCAACAUUUUUAAAACUUUUUUAAAAAGUUUAUAAAUUAAAAAAAUCUCAAUAAAUUUAACUUUUUAAUAUAAAAUUAAUAUCAGUUUUUUUCAUAAUUUUUUAUUAUUUGAAAAGAAAUUAAUAUUCAAAAAAAUAUACAAAAUUUGAAUUAAUCAUAUUAUAUAAUUACAUUAGAGAAAAGUACAAAAUUUUAAAAAAUCAAAAAUACAUUUAAAAUAAAAUGAUAUUAUUUAUACAACAAUUAACAAACAAUAGAGAAAAAAAUCAAACCUAAUUUUUUUCUUCGUUACAUCAUUUUUUCACUUA
This 354-nucleotide long non-coding RNA is filed under the name Ananas comosus (pineapple). Its description in RNAcentral is "long non-coding RNA (ACOM_LNC019470)". The record is from RNAcentral. Lineage: Eukaryota; Viridiplantae; Streptophyta; Magnoliopsida; Poales; Bromeliaceae.